RNAcentral lists this long non-coding RNA (245 nucleotides) under Lathyrus oleraceus (garden pea). RNAcentral's name for it is "Pisum sativum (pea) long non-coding RNA (PSAT_LNC014368)". The record is from RNAcentral. Lineage: Eukaryota; Viridiplantae; Streptophyta; Magnoliopsida; Fabales; Fabaceae.
CCUAAGACUCGAUUCAGCGAGCUGCGACACCUACUGCUAGGACGUUGAACACAUUGUCCACUUUCCUUUGACACAGCUGGUGUCCUCUUUUGUAAGACCAUGUUCAGAUGGUAAUCCUUAACCCCUAGUUAGGCGAACUACGACAACUCUGAUUCUCAUGUUCAGAUGAGAUACGUAGGCACAAGACACGAUAUCUUGCCGAGUUUUUGACUAACGACUAACAACUAAUCCUUGUUUGCUUUCGC